GGGUGAGGAACACGUGAGGAACCUGCCCCAAACUUUGCUAUAACAGUUGGAAACGACUGCUAAUACCAGAUGCCGUUACUUUGUCGCAUGGCGAGGGAACGAAAGUUUUUCGGUUUGGGAGGGCCUCGCGGCCUAUCAGCUUGUUGGUGAGGUAAUGGCUCACCAAGGCAACGACGGGUAGCUGGUCUGAGAGGAUGAUCAGCCACACUGGGACUGAGACACGGCCCAGACUCCUACGGGAGGCAGCAGUGGGGAAUCUUGCCCAAUGGGCGAAAGCCUGACGCAGCAACGCCGCUGUGCGGGAAGAAGGCCUUAGGGUUGUAAACCGCUUUCAGCAUGUAAGAAAAUGACUGUACCUGCAGAAGAAGGUGCGGCCAACUACGUGCCACCAGCCGCGGGGACACGUAGGCACCAAGCGUUGUCCGGAUUUAUUGGGC
Molecule: ribosomal RNA, 437 nt
Filed under: uncultured bacterium
Lineage: Bacteria
Description: bacterial SSU rRNA
Rfam family: Bacterial small subunit ribosomal RNA
Source: RNAcentral